This is a long non-coding RNA of Pollicipes pollicipes, 718 nucleotides long. RefSeq lists it as uncharacterized. The transcript has 2 exons. The record is from RefSeq and is a predicted model, not a curated record. Lineage: Eukaryota; Metazoa; Arthropoda; Thecostraca; Pollicipedomorpha; Pollicipedidae.
CGGGACGACAGCCCGGCCACUAGUGACGCCGCCUCCCGGGCCACGCUGGACUCGGACGGGCUCACGCAGCAUCUGGAGGGCGAGGGCCGGCCCCGGCUGGGGCGAACGCUCUCACUCGGCAGCGUCAACUCCGCCUAUGGCACACCCGGUGCCAGCCGACACAACUUCAGCUCCUCUGAUGCCGGCGGCGCGAACGCUGGUUUUGCCAUGGCGCCAACAGAUGACAGCACCACUCGGGAGCGGUGCCCGACGCGACGCCGCCGCAGCGAGGAGGGAGCGCGUGCGGUCCGUGUGUACCUGGCCUAGCCCGCCGGCUCGUCACUAUGCUGGGGCCGGCUGAGGCGCGGCAGCGUCACGCGUCCACCGAGUCAUGUCCAAGGGUACGCUAUCCGGCGCGGGAAGACUAAUGGAUCUGCGCUUGCUAAUGGGUUCUGCGCAGCACACCUCCGCCACCCAGCAUGGCGAGGUUUGCAGCUGUAAUGUCUGGUUGCUCGAGCUUUAACUCGAACAGUGCCCUGUCCUGACGUCCGAGUGCUUAGCAGCUGCUGGUGAACGUCCGCCACCACGCAUGCAAGCAUGGCCGCUCACACAAUAUUUCACGCGCGUGGCAGCGGGCAGAUACCGCAAGAUGUAGUUACACCGCAUAUCAUUCGGUAUCAGCGGUGCCUGUGUGUGCAUGUGAGCUGUUUUUCAGUGUGCAAUAUAAGGCCGUAAUGUC